RNAcentral lists this transfer RNA (75 nucleotides) under Gluconobacter oxydans. Its description in RNAcentral is "tRNA-Lys". It matches the Rfam family "tRNA". Rfam says of the family: Transfer RNA (tRNA) molecules are approximately 80 nucleotides in length. Their secondary structure includes four short double-helical elements and three loops (D, anti-codon, and T loops). Lineage: Bacteria; Pseudomonadati; Pseudomonadota; Alphaproteobacteria; Acetobacterales; Acetobacteraceae. RNAcentral also lists the same sequence under 1 other name. The record is from RNAcentral.
GGACCUGUAGCUCAGUGGUAGAGCGGCCGACUUUUAAUCGGCGGGUCGUGGGUUCGAACCCCACCGGGUCCUCCA